GGGGGUGUGGCUCAGUGGUACAGCACUUGCCUAGCACACAUGAGGCCCAGGGUUCCAUCCUCAGAACCCCCC
RNAcentral lists this transfer RNA (72 nucleotides) under Marmota marmota marmota (Alpine marmot). It matches the Rfam family "tRNA". Rfam says of the family: Transfer RNA (tRNA) molecules are approximately 80 nucleotides in length. The record is from Rfam by way of RNAcentral. Lineage: Eukaryota; Metazoa; Chordata; Mammalia; Rodentia; Sciuridae. RNAcentral also lists the same sequence under 2 other names.